This 100-nucleotide ribosomal RNA is filed under the name Lupinus angustifolius (narrow-leaved blue lupine). Lineage: Eukaryota; Viridiplantae; Streptophyta; Magnoliopsida; Fabales; Fabaceae. The record is from RNAcentral.
UUGAGUAUCCAACCAAAACUGUAGAUUCAAAGUCAAGCAUGCUCGGGCGAGAGUAGUACUAGAAAGGAUGACCUCCUGGGAAGUCCUCGUCUUGCACCAC